RNAcentral lists this transfer RNA (64 nucleotides) under Bavayia ashleyi. RNAcentral's name for it is "tRNA-Cys". The record is from RNAcentral. Lineage: Eukaryota; Metazoa; Chordata; Lepidosauria; Squamata; Diplodactylidae.
AGCCCUGUAGUGAUUCCACAUCAAAUUGCAAAUUUGAAAAAGUUCCUUUUUGGUUCCGGGGCUU